This 540-nucleotide ribosomal RNA is filed under the name Trichoderma koningii. RNAcentral's name for it is "eukaryotic LSU rRNA". The stretch from base 149 to 302 matches the Rfam family "5.8S ribosomal RNA". The record is from RNAcentral. Lineage: Eukaryota; Fungi; Ascomycota; Sordariomycetes; Hypocreales; Hypocreaceae.
CCAAACUGUUGCCUCGGCGGGGUCACGCCCCGGGUGCGUCGCAGCCCCGGAACCAGGCGCCCGCCGGAGGGACCAACCAAACUCUUUCUGUAGUCCCCUCGCGGACGUUAUUUCUUACAGCUCUGAGCAAAAAUUCAAAAUGAAUCAAAACUUUCAACAACGGAUCUCUUGGUUCUGGCAUCGAUGAAGAACGCAGCGAAAUGCGAUAAGUAAUGUGAAUUGCAGAAUUCAGUGAAUCAUCGAAUCUUUGAACGCACAUUGCGCCCGCCAGUAUUCUGGCGGGCAUGCCUGUCCGAGCGUCAUUUCAACCCUCGAACCCCUCCGGGGGGUCGGCGUUGGGGAUCGGGAACCCCUAAGACGGGAUCCCGGCCCCGAAAUACAGUGGCGGUCUCGCCGCAGCCUCUCAUGCGCAGUAGUUUGCACAACUCGCACCGGGAGCGCGGCGCGUCCACGUCCGUAAAACACCCAACUUCUGAAAUGUUGACCUCGGAUCAGGUAGGAAUACCCGCUGAACUUAAGCAUAUCAAUAAGCCGGAGGAA